Molecule: long non-coding RNA, 3241 nt
Organism: Beta vulgaris subsp. vulgaris (sugar beet)
Lineage: Eukaryota; Viridiplantae; Streptophyta; Magnoliopsida; Caryophyllales; Amaranthaceae
Exons: 2
Source: RefSeq, a predicted model, not a curated record
AAAAAAAAAAAAAAAAAAAAGGCUUGGAAAAGAGAAAGAGAACAUGAAAAAAAAGAAAAAAUAACUUCCCGAAACCGCGUCAAAUUGAGAUCUUAACCGCCUCUCAUCCCAACCGACUCGCUUAACUUUUCUAUAAAUACACCGCCCAUCCUCCUCAUUCGUCAGCUUUUAUUUGUUGCGUCGCAAUCUUAGGUUUUCUUGGAUUAUUUGUUAUUAUGCUGCAUGAUAUUGAAGUAUUAGAUAUUUGGAGUGAAUUUUGCAUAAGUUUUUGGAUUGAUUGUUAAUCUUGCAUGAUAUGUGAUCGGGUAGCUGUUUAUUCUUUGCUGAAGUGUCGGGGAAUUCGAUUGGGAUAUGAUUGUUCGGUGAUCGAAUUAUGCAGAUGUUAGUUGAUUUUUUGAUGCUGCGAAUAUUCAUCUGCUUUUUUAUGAUUCAUGAUCAAGAAGCUUGUUUCUUGAAUAUUCUAUCGCCUUCUGUUUUUUUAAUUCUCCAGAGUGUAUAGGUGACUUCGUUUUUUUUCAAUUUGCAGACUCAUCUCGUGUUCUUCAGCUUUUUUACUCAGUAUCUAGAUUUGUAGAAAUAUCUUUAGAUAUGCAGACUCCAAUAAACAAGAUGUUAAUUGUCUUUUUUUUUGUUUUGUAUAUAUUUAUGGAUUAACUCCUGUUGCAUAGUGUUUGGGCGUUAUUUGAUGAGAGGUGUCUGUAAAUUGGGUUCUCCAUUGAUUUGGUUCAUUGAGUCGCGGAAGUUCAUGAGCUCCCUAAUUUUCUUGGAUUUGGUUUGUUUCUUGGACUGAUCGAGUGACAAUUAUUUGGUAUGGGUUAUAGUUGAUUCACGGGUCUAUAUCGCUUGAAUUUCUUGUGCUUUCCUUCGGUUUCAUGCUUAUGUUUUAUCAUUAACUGGACGUUUUCUUGCACAUGGUGCUGGGAUUUUUCAUUCGUCCCCAAGCUUUGUAUUCAUCUUGUGAUUCAGCAUCACUGAGCUCAUUAUUGACCUGAGGCUGUCAUUAGUGGUAUGCUUGUGAGUUUGGGAUGUAGGGGCCAUCGAAGAAUUGUCUGGUUUAGUCAGAAGAUAGUUGUUGUUUGGCGUUGCAGAUGUUAUGCCCCUAGAUGUUUGAGAAUAAGACUGAACUUUAGCGGAAACAUACUUGCGCAUCAUCUCUCGUCAUUUGGAUCGUCGCGUUUUUGUCUGUUGUCUUCUGCAGAUUUGAGAAGGGGAGUUGUGCUUUAAUAACCAACAAACAGCAAGCACUUUUCCUUGUGUGGAUCAAGUCAGUGGCUCACGGACAUUGACAAGAGGCUAGUAAAAGGGUGUAGAGACCACAAGGAGUUCCAUCUAGCCUGUUCACUCAGCCCUAUUCUGUUUUUCUUUUUUGUUUGCUGUGCUCAGAUCAUUUGGUACAAAUGGACAAAUGGACAAAUGGACAAAUGGUCAAGUAGCAUGAGGAUUUAGGUGUUGGUCUGCUGGAGUUCCCGAGUUUUUGGCAAGAAAUGAGUGUUCGUCUCGUAUGUUUUGGUUAAUGAUGGUGUCGGUGCCGUCGCGUGUUAGAAGGUGCAAGCAGGAUAUUCAGGAGAGGUAUUUUUGGAGCUGAGCCACUUGGAUCCUGUAAGUUUACUCUUUCUUAUUUGUAGGAUUAGCCUUAGCAUGUCUCUUUUGGCAGGAAGACUGCUAAAUCUGAGCUUUGUUGCAUUAUAAGCUUGCUUGUCUAGCGUUUUGCUUUGUGCAUGAUUAUCUCACACCUUGUUGUAUUCUCCUAGGGAUGUUAGACAAAAGGUUCAGGUUUUAUGUGGUAUCCAUGGACUGAUCGACAUGCAAAGGUUUAAUGGAUUACAGCUUAUAGGGCUCUACUACAUAUACAUAUAUAAAAUAUAUAUCUAUAUAUAUAUAUAUUAUACAUAUUAUACAUAUAUAUCUAUGUAUAUAUAUUAUACAUAUAUAUAUAGGUUUAAGUUCAUAUGAGAACCACCCUUAUGGCUGGAACCAUGAGAAUCCCUCAUUUUACGAAGUUUUUAAUCAUUUUAUAAUAUUUUUUGCUUAUUUUUUGUUUCACUUGUCUUAUGGUUUUGCUCAUUUAAUAAUUUAUAACGUUUUUGCUCAUUUUACGUUUUGCUUAUAUUACUUUUUUUUUCUCAUUAAACUUUUUCAUGCUCAUUUUUCGUUUUUUUUUUCUCUUACAUUUUUGUUCAUUUUACGUUAUUGUUCAUUUUACGUUUUUGAUAAUUUAAUGUUUUCUACUCAUUUUAAAUUUAUGCUCAUUUGUUACUUUUUUUUUUGCUUAUUUUAGGAAGUUUUUGCUCAUUUAACGUUUUUGCUCAUUUUAAGUGGUUUUUGCGGUUUUCACCGUAAGAGAGUUCUCAUCCUUAAAAUGAGCCAAAACUUCCUAAAAUGAGCAAAAACAAAAAAAAAAGAAACAAUUGAGCUUAAGCAUAAAAUGAGUGGAAACCAUUACAUUAUCAAAAAAAAAACGUAAAAUAAACAAAACAUAAAAUGAGCAAAAACACUCAUAAAAUGAGCAUAAAAUUGUUAAAUGAGCAAAAUCAUAAAAUAAAUAAAACAAAAAAUGAGCAAAAAUAUUUUGAAAUGAUCAAACUUUUUGUAAAAUGAAGAAAAAUAAGUCUCACCACAUGAGUGGUUCUCAUAUGAAUUCCAACAUGUAUAUGUAAAUGUAUAUGCAUAUGUAUAUAUGUAUAUGUAUAUGUAUAUGUAUAUGUAUAUGUAUAUGUAUAUGUAUAUGUAUAUGUAUAUGUAUAUGUAUAUGUAUAUGUAUAUGUAUAUGUAUAUGUAUGUGUAUGUGUAUAUGUAUGUGUAUAUGCAGGAAUGGCAACGGGUCGGACUUGGACCGGAUUAUACAUAAUCCGACUCCGACCCUACAGAAAGUCGGAUUUUAAAUCCGACUCCGACUCCGAGAUCCGACUUUGAAAAUCCGAAUUCGACCCGACCUAAAAUCCGAACAUCCGACUCCGAGAUCCGACCCGACUUAAAAUCCGGACAUCCGACUUAAAAUCCGAACAUCCGACUCCGAACCUGAUCCGACUUAUUUUUCUUCCAAUUGUUUAAUCAUUUUUUUGUGGGAAAAGCCUAUAUAAUACAACUGGCUGAAAGUCGAAGUCAGAUAUACAUAAAUAAUACAUUACAUAAAUAAGAAAAAAGGAUUGAUUGACUCAAAGUCGGAGUCGGAUUCGGAUGUCGGAUUAUUUUAUGAGAUCCGACUCCGACCCUCCUCCAACUCGGAGUCGGAUUUUUUAAA